This 505-nucleotide ribosomal RNA is filed under the name uncultured Glomeromycotina. RNAcentral's name for it is "partial small subunit ribosomal RNA". It matches the Rfam family "Eukaryotic small subunit ribosomal RNA", at positions 591 to 1092 of the family's 1831-position model. Lineage: Eukaryota; Fungi; Glomeromycota. The record is from RNAcentral.
CCAAUAGCGUAUAUUAAAGUUGUUGCAGUUAAAAAGCUCGUAGUUGAAUUUCGGGAUUGGCGCAUCGGUCGUGCCUUAAGGGGUAUGAACUGGUGUAGCCAAUUUCUCACCUUCUGGAGAACCGCGAUGUCCUUAAUUGGGUGCCGCGAGGAACCAGGACCUUUACUUUGAAAAAAUUAGAGUGUUUAAAGCAGGCAUUUUGCUUGAAUACAUUAGCAUGGAAUAAUAAAAUAGGACGGAUGAUUCUAUUUUGUUGGUUUCUAGGACCACCGUAAUGAUUAAUAGGGAUAGUUGGGGGCAUUAGUAUUCAAUUGUCAGAGGUGAAAUUCUUGGAUUUAUUGAAGACUAACUACUGCGAAAGCAUUUGCCAAGGAUGUUUUCAUUAAUCAAGAACGAAAGUUAGGGGAUCGAAGACGAUCAGAUACCGUCGUAGUCUUAACCAUAAACUAUGCCGACUAGGAAUCAGACGAUGUUAAUUUUUUAAUGACUCGUUUGGCACCUUACG